This 78-nucleotide ribozyme is filed under the name Chrysemys picta bellii (western painted turtle). RNAcentral's name for it is "Mammalian CPEB3 ribozyme (ENSCPBG00000025691.1)". It matches the Rfam family "Mammalian CPEB3 ribozyme". Rfam says of the family: The mammalian CPEB3 ribozyme is a self cleaving RNA located in the second intron of the CPEB3 gene which belongs to a family of genes regulating messenger RNA polyadenylation. This ribozyme is highly conserved and found only in mammals. The record is from Rfam by way of RNAcentral. Lineage: Eukaryota; Metazoa; Chordata; Testudines; Emydidae.
AUGCCUUGCCUGGGGGCCAGAGCAAAAGCGUUUACAUUGCAGCCCCUGUCAGAUUCUUAUGAAUCUGCAAAUUCUGCU